RNAcentral lists this ribosomal RNA (621 nucleotides) under Flavobacteriaceae bacterium Ri3Pw_6411. Its description in RNAcentral is "bacterial SSU rRNA". It matches the Rfam family "Bacterial small subunit ribosomal RNA", at positions 395 to 1016 of the family's 1533-position model. Lineage: Bacteria; Pseudomonadati; Bacteroidota; Flavobacteriia; Flavobacteriales; Flavobacteriaceae. The record is from RNAcentral.
UGCCGCGUGCAGGAUGACGGUCCUUCUGGAUUGUAAACUGCUUUUAUACGAAAAAAAACACUCCUUCGUGAAGGAAUUUGACGGGACCGGACGAAUAAGGAUCGGCUAACUCCGUGCCAGCAGCCGCGGUAAUACUGAGGAUCCUAGCGUUAUCCGGAAUCAUUGGGUUUAAAGGGUCCGUAUGCGGUUUAAUAAGUCAGUGGUGAAAGCCCAUCGCUCAACGAUGGAACGGCCAUUGAUACCGGUGAGCUAGAAUGAUUAGGAAGUAACUAGAAUAUGUUGCGUAGCGGUGAAGAGGAAAAACAGUACAUGGAAUACCAAUUGCGAAGGCAGGUGACUACUGAUGGAUUGACGCUGAUGGACGAAAGCGUUGGUAUCCAACGGGAUUACAUACCCUGGUAGUCCACGCCUAAGACGAUGGAUACUAGCUGUUGGAAGCAAUUUCAGUGGCUAAGCGAAAGUGAUAAGUAUCCCACCUGGGGAGUACGUUUGCAAGAAUGAAACUCAGAGGAAUUGACGGGGGCCCGCACAAGCGUUGGAGUAUGUGGUUUAAUUCGAUGAUACGCGAGGAACCUUACCAAGGCUUAAAUGUAGAUUGACCGUUUUGGAAACACAACUUUC